UACAGAGACUGCAAGCGUUAUUCGGAUUCACUGGGCGUAAAGGGUGCGCAGGCGGUCGGGUGUGUCAGAUGUGAAAUCCCGAGGCUCAACCUCGGAACCGCGUCUGAAACUACUCGACUAGAGUACUGGAGAGGGUAACGGAAUUCACGGUGUAGCAGUGAAAUGCGUAGAUAUCGUGAGGAACACCAGAGGCGAAGGCGGUUACCUGGACAGUUACUGACGCUCAGGCACGAAAGCAUGGGGAGCAAAAGGG
RNAcentral lists this ribosomal RNA (253 nucleotides) under uncultured bacterium. Its description in RNAcentral is "partial 16S ribosomal RNA". It matches the Rfam family "Bacterial small subunit ribosomal RNA", at positions 524 to 776 of the family's 1533-position model. The record is from RNAcentral.